This 301-nucleotide ribosomal RNA is filed under the name uncultured bacterium. RNAcentral's name for it is "partial 16S ribosomal RNA". It matches the Rfam family "Bacterial small subunit ribosomal RNA", at positions 509 to 807 of the family's 1533-position model. The record is from RNAcentral.
CAGCAGCCGCGGUAAUACGGAGGGAGCUAGCGUUGUUCGGAAUUACUGGGCGUAAAGCGCACGUAGGCGGUUAUUCAAGUCAGAGGUGAAUGCCCGGGGCUCAACCCCGGAACUGCCUUUGAAACUAGAUGACUGGAAUCUUGGAGAGGUCAGUGGAAUUCCGAGUGUAGAGGUGAAAUUCGUAGAUAUUCGGAAGAACACCAGUGGCGAAGGCGACUGACUGGACAAGUAUUGACGCUGAGGUGCGAAAGCGUGGGGAGCAAACAGGAUUAGAUACCCCUGUAGUCCCUGUCUCUUAUAC